AAUGCCACACUCCGAGAACAAUAUCCGGCUCUAUACAACAUUGUGUGCCACAAAGGUGAUACUAUCGCCACGGUAAUGGAAUCAUUUCCGCCAAAUGUGACGUUCAGAAGAGACUUAAUUGGACCCAUACUCCAAUCGUGGAAUAUCCUGCUACAUCGGUUUUCCACGGUGCAAUUGUCACAUGGGUCUAAUGUAUUCUGAUGGAACCUCCAUGGGAAUGGACAAUUCUCAUUGGAUUCUAUGUAUAGAGCGUUAAUCCAGUCCGAUGUGCCAGUUUUUAAUAACAAGAAGAUCUGGAAGAUGAAGAUACCUCUUAAGAAUAAAAUCUUUGCAUGGCAUCUUCGUCGCGGAGUCAUUCUUACUAAAGAUAACCUUAUUAAGCGGAAUUAG
RNAcentral lists this ribosomal RNA (390 nucleotides) under Triticum aestivum (bread wheat). RNAcentral describes it as "partial small subunit ribosomal RNA". The record is from RNAcentral. Lineage: Eukaryota; Viridiplantae; Streptophyta; Magnoliopsida; Poales; Poaceae.